CAGGGAGCUCUUUAGUCCAAAUCUUUUACCACACUCAGAACAGCCAAAUAGUUUGUGUCCUGAAUGAAUUAUCAUGUGUGUUUUCAGAUUGCUCUUUAGUCCAAAUCUUUUUCCACACUCGGAACAGCCAAAUAGUUUGUGUCCUGAAUGAAUUAUCAUGUGUGUUUUCAGAUUGCUCUUUAGUCCAAAUCUUUUACCACACUCAGAACAGCCAAAUGGUUUUUGUCCUGUAUGAAUUAUCAUGUGUUUUGUCAGAUAGCUCUUUUGUCCAAAUCUUUUACCACACUCAGAACAGCCAAAUGGUUUGUGUCCUGUAUGAACUAUCAUGUGUUUUUUCAGGUCAUUCUUUUGUCCAAAUCUUCGAGCACAUUCAGGACAGCCAAAUCGUUUUUGUCCUGUAUGAAUAAUCAUGUGUUUUUUCAGGUUGCUCUUUUGUCCAAAUCUUUGACCACAUUCAGAACAGCCAAACUGUUUUAGUCCUGAAUGAAUUAGCAUGUGUUUUGUCAGGUUGCCCUUUUGUCCAAAUCUUCGACUACAUUCAGAACA
Long non-coding RNA from Thalassophryne amazonica, 546 nucleotides. RefSeq lists it as uncharacterized. The record is from RefSeq and is a predicted model, not a curated record. Lineage: Eukaryota; Metazoa; Chordata; Actinopteri; Batrachoidiformes; Batrachoididae. The transcript has 2 exons.